Molecule: ribosomal RNA, 108 nt
Filed under: Echinops telfairi (small Madagascar hedgehog)
Lineage: Eukaryota; Metazoa; Chordata; Mammalia; Afrosoricida; Tenrecidae
Source: RNAcentral
UACAGCCAUACCACCCUGAACAACCCCAAUCUUGUCUGAUCUUGGAAGCAAAGUAGGGUCAGGCCUGGUUAGUACUCCGAUGGGAAAAAGUUCACGGAGAAACAGAAU